RNAcentral lists this ribosomal RNA (172 nucleotides) under Gastrotheca psychrophila (ridge marsupial frog). Its description in RNAcentral is "16S ribosomal RNA". The record is from RNAcentral. Lineage: Eukaryota; Metazoa; Chordata; Amphibia; Anura; Hemiphractidae.
ACGUGAUCUGAGUUCAGACCGGAGAAAUCCAGGUCGGUUUCUAUCUAUAAGAAGUCUUCUCUAGUACGAAAGGACCGAAAAGACGUAGCCUAUACAUCAGCAAGCUACCCUCACAACUUAUGAUUAAAGCUCAACAAGUAACUAGUUCAACACCCGGCCUUAAAAAAAGGCA